AUACGUAGGGGGCGAGCGUUGUCCGGAAUGAUUGGGCGUAAAGGGCGCGUAGGCGGCGCGGUAAGUCUGGAGUGAAAGUCCUGCUUUCAAGGUGGGAAUUGCUUUGGAUACUGCCGCGCUUGAGUGCAGGAGAGGUUAUCGGAAUUCCCGGUGUAGCGGUGAAAUGCGUAGAGAUCGGGAGGAACACCAGUGGCGAAGGCUGGUAACUGGACUGCAAAUGACGCUGAGGCGCGAAAGUGUGGGGAGCAAACAGGAUUAGAUACCCUGGUAGUCCACACUGUAAACGAUGAAUGCUAGGGGUAAGAGGUAUCGACCCCUUUUGUGCCGGAGUCAACACAAUAAGCAUUCCGCCUGGGGAGUACGGCCGCAAGGUUGAAACUCAAAUGAAUUGACGGGG
Molecule: ribosomal RNA, 397 nt
Filed under: uncultured bacterium
Lineage: Bacteria
Description: partial 16S ribosomal RNA
Rfam family: Bacterial small subunit ribosomal RNA
Source: RNAcentral